GGAUGAACGCUAGCUACAGGCUUAACACAUGCAAGUCGAGGGGCAGCAUGGUCUUAGCUUGCUAAGGCCGAUGGCGACCGGCGCACGGGUGAGUAACACGUAUCCAACCUGCCGUCUACUCUUGGACAGCCUUCUGAAAGGAAGAUUAAUACAAGAUGGCAUCAUGAGUCCGCAUGUUCACAUGAUUAAAGGUAUUCCGGUAGACGAUGGGGAUGCGUUCCAUUAGAUAGUAGGCGGGGUAACGGCCCACCUAGUCUUCGAUGGAUAGGGGUUCUGAGAGGAAGGUCCCCCACAUUGGAACUGAGACACGGUCCAAACUCCUACGGGUGGCAGCAGUGAGGAAUAUUGGUCAAUGGGCGAGAGCCUGAACCAGCCAAGUAGCGUGAAGGAUGACUGCCCUAUGGGUUGUAAACUUCUUUUAUAAAGGAAUAAAGUCGGGUAUGGAUACCCGUUUGCAUGUACUUUAUGAAUAAGGAUCGGCUAACUCCGUGCCAGCAGCCGCGGUAAUACGGAGGAUCCGAGCGUUAUCCGGAUUUAUUGGGUUUAAAGGGAGCGUAGAUGGAUGUUUAAGUCAGUUGUGAAAGUUUGCGGCUCAACCGUAAAAUUGCAGUUGAUACUGGAUAUCUUGAGUGCAGUUGAGGCAGGCGGAAUUCGUGGUGUAGCGGUGAAAUGCUUAGAUAUCACGAAGAACUCCGAUUGCGAAGGCAGCCUGCUAAGCUGCAACUGACAUUGAGGCUCGAAAGUGUGGGUAUCAAACAGGAUUAGAUACCCUGGUAGUCCACACGGUAAACGAUGAAUACUCGCUGUUUGCGAUAUACUGCAAGCGGCCAAGCGAAAGCGUUAAGUAUUCCACCUGGGGAGUACGCCGGCAACGGUGAAACUCAAAGGAAUUGACGGGGGCCCGCACAAGCGGAGGAACAUGUGGUUUAAUUCGAUGAUACGCGAGGAACCUUACCCGGGCUUAAAUUGCAGAUGAAUUACGGUGAAAGCCGUAAGCCGCAAGGCAUCUGUGAAGGUGCUGCAUGGUUGUCGUCAGCUCGUGCCGUGAGGUGUCGGCUUAAGUGCCAUAACGAGCGCAACCCUUGUUGUCAGUUACUAACAGGUUCCGCUGAGGACUCUGACAAGACUGCCAUCGUAAGAUGUGAGGAAGGUGGGGAUGACGUCAAAUCAGCACGGCCCUUACGUCCGGGGCUACACACGUGUUACAAUGGGGGGUACAGAGGGUCGCUACCACGCGAGUGGAUGCCAAUCCCCAAAACCUCUCUCAGUUCGGACUGGAGUCUGCAACCCGACUCCACGAAGCUGGAUUCGCUAGUAAUCGCGCAUCAGCCACGGCGCGGUGAAUACGUUCCCGGGCCUUGUACACACCGCCCGUCAAGCCAUGGGAGCCGGGGGUACCUGAAGUGCGUAACCGCGAGGAGCGCCCUAGGGUAAAACUGGU
Molecule: ribosomal RNA, 1441 nt
Filed under: uncultured organism
Description: 16S ribosomal RNA
Rfam family: Bacterial small subunit ribosomal RNA
Source: RNAcentral